RNAcentral lists this ribosomal RNA (460 nucleotides) under uncultured bacterium. Its description in RNAcentral is "partial 16S ribosomal RNA". It matches the Rfam family "Bacterial small subunit ribosomal RNA", at positions 338 to 795 of the family's 1533-position model. The record is from RNAcentral.
CCUACGGGUGGCAGCAGUGAGGAAUAUUGGUCAAUGGGCUUACGCCUGAACCAGCCAAGUCGCGUGAGGGAAGACUGCUCUAUGGGUUGUAAACCUCUUUUGUCAGGGAGCAACGCCGGCUACGUGUAGCCGGACUGAGAGUACCUGAAGAAAAAGCAUCGGCUAACUCCGUGCCAGCAGCCGCGGUAAUACGGAGGAUGCGAGCGUUAUCCGGAUUUAUUGGGUUUAAAGGGUGCGUAGGCGGAAUGCCAAGUCAGCGGUAAAAGCGCGGGGCUCAACCUCGCUCCGCCGUUGAAACUGGCGUGCUUGAGUGGGCGAGAGGUAUGCGGAAUGCGUGGUGUAGCGGUGAAAUGCAUAGAUAUCACGCAGAACUCCGAUUGCGAAGGCAGCAUACCGGCGCCCAACUGACGCUGAAGCACGAAAGCGUGGGUAUCGAACAGGAUUAGAUACCCCAGUAGUC